GAUGAAGAACGUAGCGAAAUGCGAUAAGUAAUGUGAAUUGCAGAAUUCAGUGAAUCUUCAAAUCUUUGAACGCACAUUGCGCCCGCUAGUAUUCUGGCGGGCAUGCCUGUUCGAGCGUCAUUUCAACCAUCAAGCCCUGUUUAGGCUUGUGUUGGGGCCCUGCGGCUGCCGCAGCCCCCUAAAUGCAGUGGCGGGCUCGUUGUCACUCCGAGCGCAGUAGCGUAUCUCGCUCUGGGCGUGGCGGCGGGUGCUAGCCGUGAAACACCCACUAAGGUUGACCUCGGAUCAGGUAGGAAUACCCGCUGAACUUAAGCAUAUCAAUAAGCGGAGGA
This 332-nucleotide unclassified non-coding RNA is filed under the name soil metagenome. Its description in RNAcentral is "partial contains 5.8S ribosomal RNA, internal transcribed spacer 2, and large subunit ribosomal RNA". The stretch from base 1 to 120 matches the Rfam family "5.8S ribosomal RNA", at positions 35 to 154 of the family's 154-position model. The record is from RNAcentral.